UUGUAGUCUGCAACUCGACUACAUGAAGCUGGAAUCGCUAGUAAUCGCGAAUCAGAAUGUCGCGGUGAAUACGUUCCCGGGUCUUGUACACACCGCCCGUCACACCAUGGGAGUCAGUAACGCCCGAAGCCGGUGACCCAACCGAUAAGGAGGGAGCCGUCGAAGGUGGGACCGAUAACUGGGGUGAAGUCGUAACAAGGUACC
RNAcentral lists this ribosomal RNA (204 nucleotides) under uncultured bacterium. RNAcentral's name for it is "partial 16S ribosomal RNA". It matches the Rfam family "Bacterial small subunit ribosomal RNA", at positions 1298 to 1500 of the family's 1533-position model. The record is from RNAcentral.